CGGAGGGUGCAAGCAUUGAUCGGAAUUACUGGGCGUAAAGGGCGCGUAGGCGGCUUUGAAAGUCAGAUGUGAAAUUCUGGGGCUCAACCCCAGAGCUGCAUUUGAAACUCCAGAGCUUAGAGGAUGGUGAGGGAAAACGGAAUUCCACGUGUAGCGGUGAAAUGCGUAGAUAUGUGGAAGAACACCAGUGGUGAAGACGGUUUUCUGUGCCAAACCAGACGCUGAAGCGCGAAAGCUAGGGGAGCAAACAGGAUUAGAUACCCUGGUAGUCCUAGCCAUAAACGAUGCAUACUAGAUGUAGGAGGGCUCAACCCUUUCUGUAUCGGAGCUAACGCGUUAAGUAUGCCGCCUGGGGAGUACGCUCGCAAGGGUG
RNAcentral lists this ribosomal RNA (373 nucleotides) under uncultured organism. RNAcentral's name for it is "bacterial SSU rRNA". It matches the Rfam family "Bacterial small subunit ribosomal RNA", at positions 526 to 896 of the family's 1533-position model. The record is from RNAcentral.